GAUGAAGAACGUAGCGAAAUGCGAUAAGUAAUGCGAAUUGCAGAAUUUCCGUGAGUCAUCGAAUCUUUGAACGCACAUUGCGCCCAUUGGUAUUCCGAUGGGCAUGCCUGUUCGAGCGUCAUUUCACCACUCAAGCCUCGCUUGGUAUUGGGCAACGCGGUCCGCCGCGUGCCUCAAAUCGACCGGCUGGGUCUUCUGUCCCCUAAGCGUUGUGGAAACUAUUCGCUAAAGGGUGUUCGGGAGGCUACGCCGUAAAACAACCCCAUUUCUAAGGUUGACCUCGGAUCAGGUAGGGAUACCCGCUGAACUUAAGCAUAUCAAUAAGCGGAGGA
This 332-nucleotide unclassified non-coding RNA is filed under the name soil metagenome. RNAcentral describes it as "partial contains 5.8S ribosomal RNA, internal transcribed spacer 2, and large subunit ribosomal RNA". The stretch from base 1 to 121 matches the Rfam family "5.8S ribosomal RNA", at positions 35 to 154 of the family's 154-position model. The record is from RNAcentral.